UAGGGAAUCUUCGGCAAUGGACGAAAGUCUGACCGAGCAACGCCGCGUGAGUGAAGAAGGUUUUCGGAUCGUAAAACUCUGUUGUUAGAGAAGAACAAGGACGUUAGUAACUGAACGUCCCCUGACGGUAUCUAACCAGAAAGCCACGGCUAACUACGUGCCAGCAGCCGCGGUAAUACGUAGGUGGCAAGCGUUGUCCGGAUUUAUUGGGCGUAAAGCGAGCGCAGGCGGUUUCUUAAGUCUGAUGUGAAAGCCCCCGGCUCAACCGGGGAGGGUGAUUGGAAACUGGGAGACUUGAGUGCAGAAGAGGAGAGUGGAAUUCCAUGUGUAGCGGUGAAAUGCGUGGAUAUAUGGAGGAACACCAGUGGCGAAGGCGGCUCUCUGGUCUGUAACUGACGCUGAGGCUCGAAGGCGUGGGGAGCAAACAGG
This 429-nucleotide ribosomal RNA is filed under the name Gemmatimonadota bacterium. RNAcentral describes it as "Gemmatimonadetes bacterium partial 16S ribosomal RNA". It matches the Rfam family "Bacterial small subunit ribosomal RNA", at positions 355 to 776 of the family's 1533-position model. Lineage: Bacteria; Pseudomonadati; Gemmatimonadota. The record is from RNAcentral.